This 1055-nucleotide ribosomal RNA is filed under the name Vibrio tubiashii NCIMB 1337 = ATCC 19106. Its description in RNAcentral is "bacterial SSU rRNA". It matches the Rfam family "Bacterial small subunit ribosomal RNA", at positions 467 to 1520 of the family's 1533-position model. The record is from RNAcentral. Lineage: Bacteria; Pseudomonadati; Pseudomonadota; Gammaproteobacteria; Vibrionales; Vibrionaceae.
AUUUGACGUUAGCUGCAGAAGAAGCACCGGCUAACUCCGUGCCAGCAGCCGCGGUAAUACGGAGGGUGCGAGCGUUAAUCGGAAUUACUGGGCGUAAAGCGCAUGCAGGUGGUUUGUUAAGUCAGAUGUGAAAGCCCGGGGCUCAACCUCGGAAUUGCAUUUGAAACUGGCAGACUAGAGUACUGUAGAGGGGGGUAGAAUUUCAGGUGUAGCGGUGAAAUGCGUAGAGAUCUGAAGGAAUACCGGUGGCGAAGGCGGCCCCCUGGACAGAUACUGACACUCAGAUGCGAAAGCGUGGGGAGCAAACAGGAUUAGAUACCCUGGUAGUCCACGCCGUAAACGAUGUCUACUUGGAGGUUGUGGCCUUGAGCCGUGGCUUUCGGAGCUAACGCGUUAAGUAGACCGCCUGGGGAGUACGGUCGCAAGAUUAAAACUCAAAUGAAUUGACGGGGGCCCGCACAAGCGGUGGAGCAUGUGGUUUAAUUCGAUGCAACGCGAAGAACCUUACCUACUCUUGACAUCCAGAGAACUUUCCAGAGAUGGAUUGGUGCCUUCGGGAACUCUGAGACAGGUGCUGCAUGGCUGUCGUCAGCUCGUGUUGUGAAAUGUUGGGUUAAGUCCCGCAACGAGCGCAACCCUUAUCCUUGUUUGCCAGCGAGUAAUGUCGGGAACUCCAGGGAGACUGCCGGUGAUAAACCCGGAGGAAGGUGGGGACGACGUCAAGUCAUCAUGGCCCUUACGAGUAGGGCUACACACGUGCUACAAUGGCGCAUACAGAGGGCGGCCAACUUGCGAAAGUGAGCGAAUCCCAAAAAGUGCGUCGUAGUCCGGAUCGGAGUCUGCAACUCGACUCCGUGAAGUCGGAAUCGCUAGUAAUCGUGGAUCAGAAUGCCACGGUGAAUACGUUCCCGGGCCUUGUACACACCGCCCGUCACACCAUGGGAGUGGGCUGCAAAAGAAGUGGGUAGUUUAACCUUCGGGAGGACGCUCACCACUUUGUGGUUCAUGACUGGGGUGAAGUCGUAACAAGGUAGCCCUAGGGGAACCUGGGGCUG